RNAcentral lists this long non-coding RNA (215 nucleotides) under Mytilus galloprovincialis (Mediterranean mussel). The record is from RNAcentral. Lineage: Eukaryota; Metazoa; Mollusca; Bivalvia; Mytilida; Mytilidae.
GAAAAAGACAAACAGACAAACAAUAGUACACAUGACACAACAUAGAAAACUAAAGAAUAAACAACACGAACCCCACCAAAAACUAGGGGUGAUCUCAUGUGCUCCGAAAGGGUAUGCAGAUCCUGCUCCACAUGUGGCACCCGUCGUGUUGCUUAUGUGAUAACAAAUCCGGUCAAUAGUCUAAUUCGAUAGGUCACAUUCAUGAAAGGGAAGGG